Molecule: ribosomal RNA, 559 nt
Filed under: uncultured bacterium
Lineage: Bacteria
Description: bacterial SSU rRNA
Rfam family: Bacterial small subunit ribosomal RNA
Source: RNAcentral
GAUUCGNNUGGGGAACCCUGACGCAGCACUCCGCGUGAGUGAAGAAGGCCCUCGGGUCUNAAAGCUCUGUCAAGUGGGAAAAAAGCUUGUUGGUGAAUAGCCAGCAAGACUGAUGGUACCAUUGAAGGAAGCACCGGCUAACUCCGUGCCAGCAGCCGCGGUAAUACGGAGGGUGCAAGCGUUGUUCGGAAUUACUGGGCGUAAAGGGCGUGUAGGCGGUGUGGUAAGUCAGAUGUGAAAGCCCUGGGCUUAACCCAGGAAGUGCAUUUGAAACUGCCAUGCUUGAGUAUGGGAGAGGAGAGUGGAAUUCCCAGUGUAGAGGUGAAAUUCGUAGAUAUUGGGAGGAACACCCGUGGCGAAGGCGACUCUCUGGACCAAUACUGACGCUGAGGCGCGAAAGCGUGGGGAGCAAACAGGAUUAGAUACCCUGGUAGUCCACGCUGUAAACGAUGAGCACUAGGUGUAGCGGGUAUUGACCCCUGCUGUGCCGUAGCUAACGCAUUAAGUGCUCCGCCUGGGGAGUACGGCCGCAAGGCUAAAACUCAAAGAAAUUGACGGA